GACGAACGCUGGCGGCGUGCUUAACACAUGCAAGUCGGACGGAAAGGCCCUGCUUUUGUGGGGUGCUCGAGUGGCGAACGGGUGAGUAACACGUGAGUAACCUGCCCUUGACUUUGGGAUAACUUCAGGAAACUGGGGCUAAUACCGGAUAGGAGCUCCUGCUGCAUGGUGGGGGUUGGAAAGUUUCGGCGGUUGGGGAUGGACUCGCGGCUUAUCAGCUUGUUGGUGGGGUAGUGGCUUACCAAGGCUUUGACGGGUAGCCGGCCUGAGAGGGUGACCGGCCACAUUGGGACUGAGAUACGGCCCAGACUCCUACGGGAGGCAGCAGUGGGGAAUAUUGCACAAUGGGCGGAAGCCUGAUGCAGCAACGCCGCGUGCGGAAUGACGGCCUUCGGGUUGUAAACCGCUUUCGCCUGUGACGAAGCGUGAGUGACGGUAAUGGGUAAAGAAGCACCGGCUAACUACGUG
This 468-nucleotide ribosomal RNA is filed under the name uncultured bacterium. RNAcentral describes it as "partial 16S ribosomal RNA". It matches the Rfam family "Bacterial small subunit ribosomal RNA", at positions 28 to 507 of the family's 1533-position model. The record is from RNAcentral.